CCUACGGGAGGCAGCAGUGAGGAAUAUUGGUCAAUGGACGAGAGUCUGAACCAGCCAAGUAGCGUGAAGGAUGACUGCCCUAUGGGUUGUAAACUUCUUUUAUAAAGGAAUAAAACGAGGCACGUGUGCCUUUUUGCAUGUACUGUAUGAAUAAGGAUCGGCUAACUCCGUGCCAGCAGCCGCGGUAAUACGGAGGAUCCGAGCGUUAUCCGGAUUUAUUGGGUUUAAAGGGAGCGUAGAUGGGUUGUUAAGUCAGUUGUGAAAGGUUGCUGCUCAACCGUAAAAUUGCAAUUGAUACUGGCAGUCUUGAGUACAGUUGAGGUAGGCGGAAUUCGUGGUGUAGCGGUGAAAUGCUUAGAUAUCACGAAGAACCCCGAUUGCGAAGGCAGCUUACUAAACUGUGACUGACAUUGAUGCUCGAAAGUGUGGGUAUCAAACAGGAUUAGAUACCCUUGUAGUC
RNAcentral lists this ribosomal RNA (460 nucleotides) under uncultured bacterium. RNAcentral describes it as "partial 16S ribosomal RNA". It matches the Rfam family "Bacterial small subunit ribosomal RNA", at positions 338 to 795 of the family's 1533-position model. The record is from RNAcentral.